GACAGCUACGUGGAAGAAGAAUCGACAAAGAAAACUGACAGUUAGUUUUCCGCUUGUCUUUACACGCAUUGUUAUUGUGUGAGUGUGCGAAUCAUGACUACAAUGUUUACAAUCCAAGAGCUGUACAGUAAAUUAAAUAAGAUUCGGUGCUUUCAAAUAAAAUUGGAUAGAAAACUGAAAAAGUUUUGUAAUUUGCAUUACAUACAGUGCAUCACGGUGCCGCAUCGUACCAGCAGGUCGAUAAAUGUUGUGAAUGAAGGAACGGCGGUAUAUUAGGAAUGGUUGUUUGAGCAGCACGAUGGCAGCGAAGCGGUGAACCAACGCCACUUUGUUGGGCGGUGGAAGUAAAUGUAGUAGCCACUGAUAACCGACAAGAAUAUUUUGGUGAUGAUGAAGUGUACCUCUGUUUGGAAGGUCUAUUCGACGAACAAUUCAUAUCGCCGGUGAUUAGCUACGAGGUAAGCGGCAUAGGUGUGCUUCUUCAUGCCGUAUGAUUAAACAUCCCUUCGCCACUGGGACACCGUGUGACGGAACCGUUCAAAACUAGCUUGAAGCUGCGCUAGCUUGUGAUGAAGUCUCUCCCGACGAAGGUGUGCGCAAGCUACUUUGUACCCCGGCUGCUGGUGAUCUAGGAACGGCAGCCCAGGAUUUGAGGAGUCAAGUCAUAGACAACAUUAACAAUAUAUCGUUGCCAAACGCGGAAUCGUACACGGACGCAACGCCGCAGCUGACCCUCAGUUUUGGAUUUGUUACUCGUGCUGUUAGAUGUGUUCCUCGUUUUUACAUAUUCCCUUACGAAAUCUUAUAAACUAUACCGGUUUCCGUUCGAAGAAAGAGGACUACAUUUAAAUUCUGCCAACGAUGGGUCGUUCUGGACAGAUUGACUAUUUUGCCGUGAAAUCUCACAUCGCCUCCUAGUUUAAAAGUGUACCAACAUACACACAUCGAUAUCGUUAAUCGGCAUUUUAUCCAAUGUUAGCCAGCGACGUCUGGACAUUCGGACAGCUCCAUGUUUGGCAUUAUGUUCCCCUAAGUGACGCAACGUGUUGGAACAUAACCACCGGAUAGACAGAUGGCCCCACGACGACCAGAGAUCGGGAGUUCAGCUUUAACCGUCGACCAGUUUGGUUCAUUUUUCUAUUAAAAUUACAUAUUUUAAAAUUAAUAAAUUGUAAAAAUUCAAAAAAGCAACUAAAAACUAAAGCAAAUACUAUAAUUAUAUCUAAUAUACACGUACAGACAGACAAGCAGACUGAUAGACAGACAAAAAUCAAUGCAAGAAACAUUAUUUAACUUUGAUUAUUAAUAUUCUGAGCGACAUUUGCCUAAAAUACUGAUUAAACAUACUAUUAAAUUGUAUGAGAAGCAAAACAUGUAAACAAGUUUUUCAUAUUAUUACCCGAUAACGUUGAAAGAUAUUUUAAAACUAUGAUAAAGCAAACUGAAAGAAACUGUGACUCUAAAGACACUUUGGCCUAAACAACCAACCACUACGGCCUAAAUAGGUGGCCUAGCAGUGGUUGAAGAACUGAAAAGCAAAUGGCAACAGUUAAAGGAAGCAUGCAGCAGCCUUCCUCGUUCUACGCCAUUACAAUUUUCUUGUUUAAUAUAUAGUUACGUGCCUAGCUACCGCCAUGACUACACGUGCACCCCAGCAGCACUAACGUAACGCUAAUGUGUUGCACAGCCGGUAACAGCAACCUGAUUCCGGCGAGUGACCAGGCGCAUCCGAUAAGAACAUCAGCACUAAUCGAAACAGUCAGCUAACCAACCAGCCAACCAGCCAACCAGCCAGCCGGCCAGCGAGCCAGUUGACGAUCAGUCAAGCUCCAUACCGACAGCUUAGUUCAGUUUUAGCACUCCACUAGUAAAGAAAAACGUUUUUUUUUUUAACUUAUUUACUCGCUCGUGUCUUUAGUUACACACUUGUCACCGAACGUUCAUUCGCGAGGAAAGCUAUCCACUAAUUCUCUCUCCCCUCAUCUAGAUUUUUGUGACCGCUUAGGUUUUGAACUAGUGAUACGAG
Molecule: long non-coding RNA, 2026 nt
Organism: Anopheles gambiae (African malaria mosquito)
Lineage: Eukaryota; Metazoa; Arthropoda; Insecta; Diptera; Culicidae
Exons: 5
Source: RefSeq, a predicted model, not a curated record